Molecule: ribosomal RNA, 497 nt
Filed under: uncultured bacterium
Lineage: Bacteria
Description: partial 16S ribosomal RNA
Rfam family: Bacterial small subunit ribosomal RNA
Source: RNAcentral
GAUGAACGCUGGCGGCGUGCCUAAUACAUGCAAGUCGAGCGAACAGAUGAGGAGCUUGCUCCUCUGACGUUAGCGGCGGACGGAUGAGUAACACGUGGAUAACCUACCUAUAAGACUGGGAUAACUUCGGGAAACCGGAGCUAAUACCGGAUAAUAUAUUGAACCGCAUGGUUCAAUAGUGAAAGACGGUUUUGCUGUCACUUAUAGAUGGAUCCGCGCCGCAUUAGCUAGUUGGUAAGGUAACGGCUUACCAAGGCAACGAUGCGUAGCCGACCUGAGAGGGUGAUCGGCCACACUGGAACUGAGACACGGUCCAGACUCCUACGGGAGGCAGAAGUAGGGAAUCUUCCGCAAUGGGCGAAAGCCUGACGGAGCAACGCCGCGUGAGUGAUGAAGGUCUUCGGAUCUUAAAACUCUGUUAUUAGGGAAGAACAAAUGUGUAAGUAACUAUGCACGUCUUGACGGUACCUAAUCAGAAAGCCACGGCUAACUACGUG